GCGCUAGUAGUAUAGUGGUUAGUAUAUGGCCUUGCCAAGGCUAUGACCUGGGUUCGAGCCCCAGCUAGCGCA
This 72-nucleotide transfer RNA is filed under the name Candidatus Woesearchaeota archaeon. Its description in RNAcentral is "tRNA-Gly". It matches the Rfam family "tRNA". From Rfam's summary of the family: Transfer RNA (tRNA) molecules are approximately 80 nucleotides in length. The record is from RNAcentral. Lineage: Archaea; Nanobdellati; Candidatus Woesearchaeota.